GCCGUGUUUAUUGAGCUACAAAUGUUCAUCUUUAUGUUCAGAAGAAGAAAAAUCCUAGCAGUACCUGGUCUGAUUUAGGCUACUUGGAUUCUGUGCACACCCUCAACCAGCAACAGUGGAAAUACUCAGAGUACUCUAACCACAGACUUGGCAUGAUCCAAAGUCUGGAGAAUGGACUAAGCCACCCCGGAACAGGUAGAAGGAAUGCCAUCGUGUCGGAAGAAUGGAAC
RNAcentral lists this long non-coding RNA (230 nucleotides) under Fukomys damarensis (Damara mole-rat). RNAcentral's name for it is "lncRNA (ENSFDAG00000022447.1)". Lineage: Eukaryota; Metazoa; Chordata; Mammalia; Rodentia; Bathyergidae. The record is from RNAcentral.